This 384-nucleotide long non-coding RNA is filed under the name Ananas comosus (pineapple). RNAcentral describes it as "long non-coding RNA (ACOM_LNC013402)". Lineage: Eukaryota; Viridiplantae; Streptophyta; Magnoliopsida; Poales; Bromeliaceae. The record is from RNAcentral.
UUUUGGAUUAAUAUUUCGGGCGCCAAUAAAAAAGCCCAAAAGUUUUAGAUUUUGUAGGAGAAUUUGCAAGAUAGCCCAGAAGUUUCAGAUCAAUGAUUCGGACGCCCAAGUUCGAAUCCUAGUUGAUUCACAUGUUCCAGCUAAGUUUAUUUCUAAAUGAAAUAAACGAAGCGGGUAACGUGCUACCUAUCUCUCUAUCUCAAAAAAAAAAGAUUCGGGCGUCCAGAAGAGAGUCUAGAAGUUUCGAAUUUGCGUAGGAGAUCUAUGUUUUUUGGAUGGUCCCUAGAGCAAGUGGCAAAAGGCUUGGUGGUUGGUAUCCGAGACUCAAGUUCGAAUCUUAGUUGAUUCACAUUUUUCAGCUAAGUUUAUUUCUAAAUGAAAUAA